UGGGGAAUAUUGCACAAUGGGCGAAAGCCUGAUGCAGCAACGCCGCGUGAGUGAUGAAGGUCUUCGGAUUGUAAAGCUCUGUCUUUUGGGACGAUAAUGACGGUACCAAAGGAGGAAGCCACGGCUAACUACGUGCCAGCAGCCGCGGUAAUACGUAGGUGGCGAGCGUUGUCCGGAUUUACUGGGCGUAAAGGGUGCGUAGGCGGAUGUUUAAGUGAGAUGUGAAAUACCCGGGCUUAACUUGGGUGCUGCAUUUCAAACUGGAUAUCUAGAGUGCAGGAGAGGAGAAUGGAAUUCCUAGUGUAGCGGUGAAAUGCGUAGAGAUUAGGAAGAACACCAGUGGCGAAGGCGAUUCUCUGGACUGUAACUGACGCUGAGGCACGAAAGCGUGGGUAGCAACAGGAUUAGAUACCCUGGUAGUCCACGCCGUAAACGAUGAGUACUAGGUGUAGGAGGUAUCGACCCCUUCUGUGCCGCAGUAAACACAUUAAGUACUCCGCCUGGGAGGUACGAUCGCAAGAUUAAAAC
Molecule: ribosomal RNA, 528 nt
Filed under: uncultured bacterium
Lineage: Bacteria
Description: partial 16S ribosomal RNA
Rfam family: Bacterial small subunit ribosomal RNA
Source: RNAcentral